GAUGAACGCUGGCGGCGUGCCUAAUACAUGCCAGUCGAGCGAACAGACGAGGAGCUUGCUCCUCUGACGUUAGCGGCGGACGGGUGAGUAACACGUGGAUAACCUACCUAUAAGACUGGGAUAACUUCGGGAAACCGGAGCUAAUACCGGAUAAUAUAUUGAACCGCAUGGUUCAAUAGUGAAAGACGGUUUUGCUGUCACUUAUAGAUGGAUCCGCGCCGCAUUAGCUAGUUGGUAAGGUAACGGCUUACCAAGGCAACGAUGCGUAGCCGACCUGAGAGGGUGAUCGCCCAAACUGAAACUGAGACACGGUCCAGACUCCUACGGGAGGCAGAAGUAGGGAAUCUUCCGCAAUGGGCGAAAGCCUGACGGAGCAACGCCGCGUGAGUGAUGAAGGUCUUCGGAUCGUAAAACUCUGUUAUUAGGGAAGAACAAAUGUGUAAGUAACUAUGCACGUCUUGACGGUACCUAAUCAGAAAGCACGGCUAACUACGUG
RNAcentral lists this ribosomal RNA (496 nucleotides) under uncultured bacterium. Its description in RNAcentral is "partial 16S ribosomal RNA". It matches the Rfam family "Bacterial small subunit ribosomal RNA", at positions 28 to 507 of the family's 1533-position model. The record is from RNAcentral.